UCGGUUGGCAGACUAUCUGUCUCUUAGCAAAGAUGUAGGCUAGUUCAGGGAUAGUGAAAAUGAUUAUCGACGAAAAGAUGUUCUCAGAAGCCUAUUGGCCGGUCUCUUCUGCAUUUCUACCAUCUCCAAUUACAGCAGGUCAGAUUGCAGCCACAGAAGACCAUCACUUGUGUUUUCCUGUUUUAGCACUUUGCUCAAGGACACUUUUGCAGGCCAGAUAUUUACUGACAUGGAGAUUUUAAUCCAGGUCUUCUAGAUGAUGUAUAUGAUUUCCAUACUCCAUAAGCCACCCUCCUGCAUCAUUAUUAGUGUCAGUGUGUCAAUCAUGAGAAAUUUAAAGUUUUUUUUUUUUUGUGACUGAUUUAUUCAAUUCACUGAUAGGACUAAAUGCCCCAUAAUGGCAACAUUAUGAUAGAUUUACUCUUAUGAAGUCUAGAUACAGUGACUGAUAGAAUGCUCAAAUCAAUCCCAUUGCCAAUUUUAAAAAAUCUAUAAAAUAAAUACAAAAACAAUGUAUGUAUUAUAUUGUAUUUUCAAGUAUACACCUGCUUCUGCACUGCUCACCUGAAAGCUGUAACUGCUGCAGUCACUUGCUGCCCCUGCUGCUGUUCAUAAAACAUUUCGUAAUCUCCA
Long non-coding RNA from Siniperca chuatsi (mandarin fish), 633 nucleotides. RefSeq lists it as uncharacterized. Lineage: Eukaryota; Metazoa; Chordata; Actinopteri; Centrarchiformes; Sinipercidae. The transcript has 2 exons. The record is from RefSeq and is a predicted model, not a curated record.